RNAcentral lists this ribosomal RNA (1473 nucleotides) under uncultured Aquaspirillum sp. RNAcentral's name for it is "16S ribosomal RNA". It matches the Rfam family "Bacterial small subunit ribosomal RNA". The record is from RNAcentral. Lineage: Bacteria; Pseudomonadati; Pseudomonadota; Betaproteobacteria; Neisseriales; Aquaspirillaceae.
GUUUGAUCCUGGCUCAGAUUGAACGCUGGCGGCAUGCCUUACACAUGCAAGUCGAACGGCAGCACGGGAGCAAUCCUGGUGGCGAGUUGCGAACGGGUGAGUAAUAUAUCGGAACGUGCCCAGUCGUGGGGGAUAACGUAGCGAAAGUAGCUAAUACCGCAUACGAUCUAUGGAUGAAAGCUGGGGGUCGCAAGACUCGCGCGAUUUGCGCGGCCGAUAUCAGAUUAGGUAGUUUGUGAGGUAAAGGCUCACCAAGCCGACGAUCUGUAGCUGGUCUGAGAGGACGACCAGCCACACUUGGACUGAGACACGGCCCAGACUCCUACGGGAGGCAGCAGUUGGGAAUUUUUGACAAUGGGCGCAACUGAUCCAGCAAUGCCGCGUGCAGGAUGAAGGCCUUCUGGUUGUAAACUGCUUUUGUACGGAGCGAAAAGGCUUCCACUAAUACUUGCGGCUCAUGACGGUACCGUAAGAAUAAGCACCGGCUAACUACGUCCAGCAGCCCGGUAAUACGUAGGGUGCAAGCGUUAAUCGAAUUACUGGGCGUAAAGGUGCGAGCUGUUAUGUAAGACAAUGUGAAUCCCCGGGCUUAACCUGGGAACUGCAUUUGUGACUGCAUAGCUAGAGUACGGUAGAGGGGGAUGGGAUUCCGCGUGUAGCAGUGAAAUUCGUAGAUAUGCGGAGGAACACCGAUGGCGAAGGCAAUCCCUGGACCUGUACUGACGCUCAUGCACGAAAGCGUGGGGAGCAAACAGAUAGAUACCCUGGUAGUCCACGCCCUAACGAUGUCAACUGGUUGUUGGGUCUUCACUGACUCAGUAACGAAGUAACGCGUGAAGUUGACCGCCUGGGGAGUACGGCCGCAAGGUUGAAACUCAAAGGAAUUGACGGGGACCCGCACAAGCGGUGGAUGAUGUGGUUUAAUUCGAUGCAACGCAAAAACCUUACCCACCUUUGACAUGUACGGAAGUUGCAAGAGAUGGCUUCGUGCUCGAAAGAGAGCCGUAACACAGGUGCUGCAUGGCUGUCGUCAGCUCGUGUCGUGAGAUGUUGGGUUAAGUCCCGCAACGAGCGCAACCCUUGUCAUUAGUUGCUACGAAAGGGCACUCUAAUGGGACUGCCGGUGACAAACCGGAGGAAGGUGGGGAUGACGUCAAGUCCUCAUGGCCAUUAUAGGUGGGGCUACACACAUCAUACAAUGGCUGGUACAAAGGGUUGCCAACCAGCGAGGGGGAGCUAAUCCCAUAAAGCCAGUCGUAGUCCGGAUCGCAGUCUGCAACUCGACUGCGUGAAGUCGGAAUCGCUAGUAAUCGUGGAUCAGAAUGUCACGGUGAAUACGUUCCCGGGUCUUGUACACACCGCCCGUCACACCAUGGGAGCGGGUUCUGCCAGAAGUAGUUAGCUUAACCGCAAGGAGGGCGAUUACCACGGCAGGGUUCGUGACUGGGGUGAAGUCGUAACAAGGUAGCCGUA